This 254-nucleotide ribosomal RNA is filed under the name uncultured bacterium. RNAcentral's name for it is "partial 16S ribosomal RNA". It matches the Rfam family "Bacterial small subunit ribosomal RNA", at positions 99 to 354 of the family's 1533-position model. The record is from RNAcentral.
CGCACGGGUGCGUAACGCGUAUGCAACCUACCAUCAACAGGGGGGUAACACUGAGAAAUUGGUACUAAUACCCCAUAAUAUCUCAUGCGGCAUCGCAUGGGGUUGAAAACUCCGGUGGUUGAUGAUGGGCAUGCGUUGUAUUAGCUGGUUGGUGAGGUAACGGCUCACCAAGGCGACGAUACAUAGGGGGACUGAGAGGUUAACCCCCCACACUGGUACUGAGACACGGACCAGACCCCUACGGGAGGCAGCAG